Molecule: ribosomal RNA, 68 nt
Filed under: Hypnum leptothallum
Lineage: Eukaryota; Viridiplantae; Streptophyta; Bryopsida; Hypnales; Hypnaceae
Description: partial 5.8S ribosomal RNA
Source: RNAcentral
UCAUCGAGUCUUUGAACGCAAGUUUGCGCCCGAGGCUUGUCCAAGGGCAUUUCCGCUAGAGCGUCACC